AUGUUUCUAGAAACUUUCGGAGACGAGCCGAAAGUAGAGAGUCGUGUGUACCAAAAGCCUUAUCCUGAACACUUCGAUGCAAUUUCUUACCCUCAAGGUUAUAAGGUUCCUGAUUUUGUUAAAUUUAGUGGUGAGGGUACGAAAACAACUUGGGAGCAUGUGAGUCAGUAUCUAGCACAGUUGGGUGAAGCAGGUUCCAUAGAAGAAUUGAAAGUGCGUUUAUUUCCAUUAUCUUUAACUGGUACCGCAUUUUCAUGGUUUGCUGCUUUACCACAUGGCUCGAUUCUCUUAUGGUCGCAGUUAGAGCAAAAGUUUCAUGAUCACUUUUAUAGCGGCGAUAAUGAGCUAAAGUUGUCACAUCUUACAUCGGUUAGGCAGAAACAUGAUGAAUCGGUCACCGAUUAUGUCAAGAGGUUUAGAGAUAUAAAAAACCGAUGUUAUAGCUUAGUGAUAACUGAGAGAGACUUGGCAGAUCUUGUUCUUAAUGGUUUGAAAACUCACAUUAAAGAGAGGCUAGAAAGUUAUGAGUUUUCGAGCAUUAAUCAAGUCUUACAAAAAGCUUUGGCCCAAGAGAGUCAAAGUAAAGAGGUCCAUAGGUCUACAACCGAUCGUCCUAGAAUGCAUAUGGUUGAACACGAUGAUGAUAAUUCAGACGAUGAGGUUGAUGUCUAUACUACUGAAUUUGUUUGGUCCUCAAAGGCCAAACCCUAUAUGUGCAAUGCUCUUAAGCCGAUUCGCAAGAAUCGUGAUGAGCAGAUGAGGUUUACUUUUGAUAUAUCAAAGUGUGAUAAAAUAUUUGAUGCUCUCUUGCAAGAUAAGAUGAUUAGAAUAUCACACACCAUACCGCCGUUUGAGGAGCUGAAACGGCGUGCUUAUUGCAAGUACCAUAAUUCAUUUUCUCAUGCUACUAACGAUUGCAAUGUUUUCCGACGACAGAUACAAUCGGCCAUUAAUGACGGACGAUUGAAUUUUGCUGAGAUGCAAGUUGAUAAACAACCCUUGCCGAUAAACACCAUGGACUUGGAGGGAAAGAAAAUGUUGAUUCGGCCUAGCAUAGCCGAAUCUGCUAACAAAGAUAAUGUUGUUAUUGGUGAACCCAGGAAAGGCAAGGAGGGCGACAAAGUAUUGGGACGAGAGGUUGUGCUUGAUAAGCAACCCGAUGGCAAAGAAAUAUUGAAGAUCACCAUAAAAAAUCCUUCACUCGGGGGGCAACCACAAGUACAAGAAGAUACUCAUGUUAAAUUUAUCAAGCCCAAGAAUUCUUAA
This 1266-nucleotide ribosomal RNA is filed under the name Triticum aestivum (bread wheat). Its description in RNAcentral is "partial small subunit ribosomal RNA". Lineage: Eukaryota; Viridiplantae; Streptophyta; Magnoliopsida; Poales; Poaceae. The record is from RNAcentral.